GAUGAAGAACGUAGCGAAAUGCGAUAAGUAGUGUGAAUUGCAGAAUUCAGUGAAUCAUCGAAUCUUUGAACGCGCAUUGCGCCCCUUGGUAUUCCAUGGGGCAUGCCUGUUCGAGCGUCAUUUGUACCUUCAAGCUUUGCUUGGUGUUGGGUGUUUGUCUCGCCUUUGCGUGUAGACUCGCCUUAAAAUAAUUGGCAGCCGGCGUAUUGAUUUCGGAGCGCAGUACAUCUCGCGCUUUGCACUCAUAACGACAGCGUCCAAAAGUACAUUUUACACUCUUGACCUCGGAUCAGGUAGGGAUACCCGCUGAACUUAAGAAUAUCAAUAAGCGGAGGA
RNAcentral lists this unclassified non-coding RNA (336 nucleotides) under soil metagenome. Its description in RNAcentral is "partial contains 5.8S ribosomal RNA, internal transcribed spacer 2, and large subunit ribosomal RNA". The stretch from base 1 to 120 matches the Rfam family "5.8S ribosomal RNA", at positions 35 to 154 of the family's 154-position model. The record is from RNAcentral.